This is a long non-coding RNA of Cryptomeria japonica (Japanese cedar), 1112 nucleotides long. RefSeq lists it as uncharacterized. Lineage: Eukaryota; Viridiplantae; Streptophyta; Pinopsida; Cupressales; Cupressaceae. The record is from RefSeq and is a predicted model, not a curated record. The transcript has 3 exons.
AUGCCUGUUUAUCUAAUGUAAUUGCAAUUUUUAUGUACAGUUUCAAAAUCGUACAUUCUGCAAUUUUUUCGUAAACUUUCUCAAAGCUGUACGUGAAGUUGUGAACUUAUUAUUUAUUUGAGCUUGUGGCACUGAUGAAAAAAGUUGUCUUACAGUUGCUUUGCAUACUAUUUGCAGUGUGUAGAUUUUGACACGGUUGCAGUCUACAAACUUGGAAGGAAGUCCUCAGGGUGUGGCUUUGGUAACUUGGACGAAAAGAGUGUAUUGGUAAAUAUUCUCCAUUUGAGAUGACUUUUUUGGCAUUUGUAAUUAGUCAAUGUAUCGUCACUUGUGUUAAGGCUGCUCUGCUUGACUUCUGUCAAGCUUCACAGCAAAUCGCGUGACAAGGUUGCUGUUGUCACUGCUGUUAAGGGUUUCGACUGAACCUAGGCAGAUCAAGUGGUAGCUGCUGUAACAAGUAAGGCAUAUGCACAUGGAGGGCAAAUGGGUGAAGUCUAGUAGAUGUUUGUAGGAUUUUGCAAACUAUUUCAUCUCCAAAUCUAGUAAGGUAUCUGUGUGAUGCUUAAUAUUUUAAGGGAUUUUCUGAGCCAUUAGCAUGCAUUUUGAUAAGUAUUUUUUAAUUAUUUAUUUUAGUCAACCAUGUUGAAAUUUACGAAUUGUGUAUUUGGAUUUUGACAUGUUUAUAGUUUAUGAAAGGGUGGUUUUGAUAACUUGGACAAGAAUCUCUAGGUGAGACAGUUUUCAUCCUUAAGUAUAACAUGUCACCUGGUUUUUUGCAUUUAUUGUUAACCAAUUCCUGGCAAGAAUGAAGACAUAACACUGUGAUUGUAUUAAGGCUGCUACACGGACUGCUGAAGGAAGUAAUCGGAAUGCAUAUGGAGAGUAGACAGAGGGGCUUAGUCAAUGGAAUGGGCACAAGGAAAAAAAAUGGCAUUUGUGUUGGUUGAGUGUUGAGAAGGCUGUAAACUUAAAGAGUCAGGAAGGCUUCAGGACACUUUCUCCAUGUGGUUCUAUACUGACCAUUGGACAUACGGAUGCAAGACCAAGAGGUUUCUUUUUCCUCAUCCGUGCUAAACUCAUCUGCUUAAAUGAAAGAUUUCCACUUCUAUUGA